This 470-nucleotide ribosomal RNA is filed under the name uncultured delta proteobacterium. Its description in RNAcentral is "bacterial SSU rRNA". It matches the Rfam family "Bacterial small subunit ribosomal RNA", at positions 400 to 860 of the family's 1533-position model. Lineage: Bacteria; Deltaproteobacteria. The record is from RNAcentral.
CGUGAGUGAUGAAGGCUUUCGGGUCGUAAAGCUCUGUCAAGUGGGAAGAAUAUGCAGUUGGCUAAUAUCCAUCUGUACUGACGGUACCACUGAAGGAAGCACCGGCUAACUCCGUGCCAGCAGCCGCGGUAAUACGGGGGGUGCAAGCGUUACUCGGAAUCAUUGGGCGUAAAGGGCGCGUAGGCGGCCUGGUAAGUCAGAUGUGAAAGCCCGGGGCUCAACCCCGGAAGUGCAUUUGAUACUGCCAGGCUUGAGUAUGGGAGAGGAAAGUGGAAUUCCUGGUGUAGAGGUGAAAUUCGUAGAUAUCAGGAGGAACACCUGUGGCGAAGGCGACUUUCUGGACCAAUACUGACGCUGAGGCGCGAAGGCGUGGGUAGCAAACAGGAUUAGAUACCCUGGUAGUCCACGCAGUAAACGUUGUUCACUAGGUGUAGCGGGUAUUGACCCCUGCUGUGCCGCAGCUAACGCAU